CAGCCGCCACGGGAAUACGUAGGGUGCGAGCGUUAAUCGGAAUUACUGGGCGUAAAGCGUGCGCAGGCGGUUUUGUAAGACAGGUGUGAAAUCCCCGGGCUUAACCUGGGAACUGCGCUUGUGACUGCACAGCUAGAGUAUGGCAGAGGGGGUGGAAUUCCACGUGUAGCAGUGAAAUGCGUAGAGAUGUGGAGGAACACCGAUGGCGAAGGCAGCCCCCUGGGCCAAUACUGACGCUCAUGCACGAAAGCGUGGGGAGCAAACAGGAUUAGAUACCCCAGUAGUCCCUGUCUCUUAUACA
RNAcentral lists this ribosomal RNA (301 nucleotides) under uncultured bacterium. RNAcentral's name for it is "partial 16S ribosomal RNA". It matches the Rfam family "Bacterial small subunit ribosomal RNA", at positions 509 to 808 of the family's 1533-position model. The record is from RNAcentral.